ACCAACUGUAUAUGUGUGUGUGUGUGUGUGUGUGUGCGCGCGCGCACACACACACACGCACACACACACACACACAGAUUUGCAUUUGCUAU
Molecule: microRNA precursor, 92 nt
Filed under: Podarcis lilfordi (Lilford's wall lizard)
Lineage: Eukaryota; Metazoa; Chordata; Lepidosauria; Squamata; Lacertidae
Source: RNAcentral